AUGCGUAGGUGGCAAGCGUUGUCCGGAAUUAUUGGGCGUAAAGCGCAUGUAGGCGGUGCCUUAAGUCUGUCGUGAAACUGCGGGGCCUAACCCCGUAUGGCGAUGGAAACUGUGGCACUUGAGUGCAGGAGAGGAAAGGGGAACUCCCAGCGUAGCGGUGAAAUGCGUAGAUAUUGGGAAGAACACCGGGGGCGAAGGCGCCGUUCUGGACUGUGUCUGAAGCUGAGAUGCGAAAGCCAGGGUAGCGAACGGGAUUAGAGACCCCGGUAGUCCUGGCCGUAAACGAUGGGUACGAGGUGUGGGGGGUAUCGACCCCUUCCGUGCCGGAGUUAACGCAAUAAGUACCCCGCCUGGGGAGUACGGCCGCAAGGCUUAAACUCAAAUGAAUUGACGGGG
RNAcentral lists this ribosomal RNA (396 nucleotides) under uncultured bacterium. Its description in RNAcentral is "partial 16S ribosomal RNA". It matches the Rfam family "Bacterial small subunit ribosomal RNA", at positions 523 to 918 of the family's 1533-position model. The record is from RNAcentral.